Molecule: ribosomal RNA, 399 nt
Filed under: uncultured bacterium
Lineage: Bacteria
Description: bacterial SSU rRNA
Rfam family: Bacterial small subunit ribosomal RNA
Source: RNAcentral
AAGUCGUACGGAGAGUGGGGCAACUCACUCUCAGUGGCAAACGGGUGAGUAACGCGUGAAUAACCUGCCUUUGAGAAGGGGAUAACUGUCCGAAAGGAUAGCUAAUACCCUAUAUUGCCUUUUGUCACUAAGGCAAAAGGUGAAAGCAAGGCUGUCAAAGGCUUAGGCUCAAAGAGGGGUUCGCGUCCUAUCAGGUAGUUGGUGGGGUAAUGGCCUACCAAGCCAAUGACGGGUAGCUGGUCUUAGAGGAUGAUCAGCCACAGUGGGACUGAGACACGGCCCGCACCCCUACGGGGGGCAGCAGUGGGGAAUCGUGGGCAAUGGGCGCAAGCCUGACCCCGCAAUGCCGCGUGAGGGAAGAAGCCCUUCGGGGUGUAAACCUCUGUCAGAUGGGAAGAU